UACGUAGGGCGCAAGCGUUGUCCGGAAUUAUUGGGCGUAAAGAGCUCGUAGGCGGCCUGUUGCGUCCGCUGUGAAAUCCCGGGGCUCAACCCCGGGCCUGCAGUGGAUACGGGCUGGCUAGAGGCAGGCAGGGGAGAACGGAAUUCCUGGUGUAGCGGUGAAAUGCGUAGAUAUCAGGAGGAACACCUGUGGUGUAGACGGCUUUCUGGACCAUAGCUGACGCUGAGACACGAAAGCGUGGGUAGCAAACAGG
RNAcentral lists this ribosomal RNA (253 nucleotides) under uncultured bacterium. RNAcentral describes it as "partial 16S ribosomal RNA". It matches the Rfam family "Bacterial small subunit ribosomal RNA", at positions 524 to 776 of the family's 1533-position model. The record is from RNAcentral.